This 478-nucleotide ribosomal RNA is filed under the name uncultured bacterium. RNAcentral describes it as "partial 16S ribosomal RNA". It matches the Rfam family "Bacterial small subunit ribosomal RNA", at positions 28 to 523 of the family's 1533-position model. The record is from RNAcentral.
GACGAACGCUGGCGGCGUGCUUAACACAUGCAAGUCGUACGGUAAGGCCCUUCGGGGUACACGAGUGGCGAACGGGUGAGUAACACGUGGGUGAUCUGCCCUGCACUUCGGGAUAAGCCUGGGAAACUGGGUCUAAUACCGGAUAGGACCACUGCCUGCAUGGGUGGUGGUGGAAAGCUUUUGCGGUGUGGGAUGGGCCCGCGGCCUAUCAGCUUGUUGGUGGGGUGAUGGCCUACCAAGGCGACGACGGGUAGCCGGCCUGAGAGGGGGCCCGGCCACACUGGGACUGAGAUACGGCCCAGACUCCUACGGGAGGCAGCAGUGGGGAAUAUUGCACAAUGGGCGCAAGCCUGAUGCAGCGACGCCGCGUGAGGGAUGACGGCCUUCGGGUUGUAAACCUCUUUCAGCACCGACGAAGCGCAAGUGACGGUAGGUGCAGAAGAAGGACCGGCCAACUACGUGCCAGCCGCCGCGGUAA